RNAcentral lists this ribosomal RNA (215 nucleotides) under uncultured bacterium. RNAcentral describes it as "partial 16S ribosomal RNA". It matches the Rfam family "Bacterial small subunit ribosomal RNA", at positions 524 to 733 of the family's 1533-position model. The record is from RNAcentral.
UACGUAGGGUGCAAGCGUUAAUCGGAAUUACUGGGCGUAAAGCGUGCGCAGGCGGUUUUGUAAGUCUGUCGUGAAAUCCCCGGGCUCAACCUGGGAAUUGCGAUGGAGACUGCAAGGCUAGAAUCUGGCAGGAGGGGGGUAGAAUUCCACGUGUGGAGCAGUUGAAAUGCGUAGAGAUAGUGGAGGAACACCGAUGGCGAAGGCAGCCCCCUGGG